This is a non-coding RNA of Puma concolor (puma), 970 nucleotides long. NCBI's taxonomy places the organism in Eukaryota, Metazoa, Chordata, Mammalia, Carnivora, Felidae. The record is from RefSeq and is a predicted model, not a curated record.
GUGACUCGGGGAAAAAAAAAAUCAGAAUGAGCAAGUACUUCCGCUUAAUCAGUACCCCAACAGCUUUGAAGCACAGAGAACCUGUUGUAAUUGUUAGUGAAAACCUCAUCUUCUUGCAGCAAAUGGCAACAUCUUUUGCUCAAUUCCUGCACUGUCGACUCAGAUUGAUUUCCUUUUAGUUAUAGCAUUUUAACCCAUUUAUCUGGUAGACAAAGCCUCUUUGCUUUCUUUUUUUUUAAGACAGUCUUUUCCAGUUAGAAGUAGAGCAGUGUACUUACAUCGUUAAGGAAAACUUUGAGGAGGUGUUAUUAUAAGAGAUAGGUACAGAGCUGUGUAUCUGAAGCUUUUUACAAGAAAGAAAUGGAACAUUCACAUUGCCAAGGACUUGUUCUAGGAACUGUGGUAAGAGCUGGUUGAUGGGGCAAUGCUGAAAAAAAAAAAAAUGAAUCCCACAAAUUUGGCACACAUCUGCCUCCUGGAUUAAUGUUUUCCCAAACUGUAAACAAGCGGUAGAAGGGACUUCUGGUUUCACCCAUGAUCUUGGCUCCUUUGAUCCAAACCUUUGAGGGAUCUGGCAAGGGACAGAAAGAGCUACCAGAAGAUACAGAGAGAAGGAAGAAGGCAGUAAUGACGAUGACUACCAUACAGCCCUCUCAGACGGAUUCUGUUGUCACACUGAUUCGUCAUCACAGGCAGACCAACGGGUCUGGGUCACAGAAACACUACCUUUGAAAUCAACCGGAGGAUCUGCCAAGCUCUAGAAGUGCCUCAUUUAAAUUCAGACCUCUCUACCACAUGGGCACGUGCAAACUGCUGACAUUCUGAUUUUUAAGACGAGGGCCUUUCUGAAAUGUCACUGCUGGUUUCCUUCAUAAUGUAGAAAGCUUAAGAUUCAGAGUUUUGUACACACUGUGUGUUAGCCAAUUUGACAAUGAAUUAUAUUAAAAAAUAAAAAUAAAAUGCAAAUUUU